RNAcentral lists this ribosomal RNA (508 nucleotides) under uncultured Lachnospiraceae bacterium. RNAcentral describes it as "bacterial SSU rRNA". It matches the Rfam family "Bacterial small subunit ribosomal RNA", at positions 1 to 507 of the family's 1533-position model. Lineage: Bacteria; Bacillati; Bacillota; Clostridia; Lachnospirales; Lachnospiraceae. The record is from RNAcentral.
GGUAGUUGUACGUACCGUGGCUCAGGAUGAACGCUGGCGGCGUGCCUAACACAUGCAAGUCGAACGAAGCAUGACCCAUGAGGCCUUCGGGCGGAAUGGGUCAUGACUUAGUGGCGGACGGGUGAGUAACGCGUGGGUAACCUGCCCUAUACUGGGGGAUAACAGCUAGAAAUGGCUGCUAAUACCGCAUGAGCGCACAGUCCCGCAUGGGACAGUGCGGAAAAACUCCGGUGGUAUAGGAUGGACCCGCGUCCCGAUCAGCUGGUUGGUGGGGUAACGGCCCACCAAGGCGACGAUCGGUAGCCGACCUGAGAGGGUGACCGGCCACAUUGAGACUGAGACACGGCCCAAACUCCUACGGGAGGCAGCAGUGGGGGGAUAUUGCACAAUGGGGGGAACCCUGAUGCAGCGACGCCGCGUGAGUGAAGGAGUACUCCGGUAUGUAAAGCUCUAUCAGCAGGGAAGAAGCAAGACGGUACCUGACCAAGAAGCCCCGGCUAACUACGUG